Molecule: ribosomal RNA, 378 nt
Filed under: uncultured bacterium
Lineage: Bacteria
Description: bacterial SSU rRNA
Rfam family: Bacterial small subunit ribosomal RNA
Source: RNAcentral
AUUGAACGCUGGCGGAAUGCUUUACACAUGCAAGUCGAACGGCAGCACGGGGCAACCUGGUGGCGAGUGGCGAACGGGUGAGUAAUACAUCGGAACGUGCCCAAUCGUGGGGGAUAACGUAGCGAAAGUUACGCUAAUACCGCAUACGAUCUACGGAUGAAAGCGGGGGAUCGCAAGACCUCGCGCGAAUGGAGCGGCCGAUGUCAGAUUAGGUAGUUGGUGGGGGUAAAGGCUCACCAAGCCGACGAUCUGUAGCUGGUCUGAGAGGACGACCAGCCACACUGGGACUGAGACACGGCCCAGACUCCUACGGGAGGCAGCAGUGGGGAAUUUUUGGGACAAUGGGCGCAAGCCUGAUCCAGCCAUUCCGCGUGCAGG